This 253-nucleotide ribosomal RNA is filed under the name uncultured bacterium. RNAcentral describes it as "partial 16S ribosomal RNA". It matches the Rfam family "Bacterial small subunit ribosomal RNA", at positions 524 to 776 of the family's 1533-position model. The record is from RNAcentral.
UACGUUGGGGGCUAGCGUUGUCCGGAAUCAUUGGGCGUAAAGAGCGUGUAGGCGGUCCGGUAAGUCCGCUGUGAAAGUCGGGGGCUCAACCCUCGAAUGCCGGUGGAUACUGUCGGGCUAGAGUGCGGAAGAGGCGAGUGGAAUUCCUGGUGUAGCGGUGAAAUGCGCAGAUAUCAGGAGGAACACCUAUUGCGAAGGCAGCUCGCUGGGACGUUACUGACGCUGAGACGCGAAAGCGUGGGGAGCAAACAGG